Molecule: unclassified non-coding RNA, 290 nt
Filed under: uncultured Hyaloscypha
Lineage: Eukaryota; Fungi; Ascomycota; Leotiomycetes; Helotiales; Hyaloscyphaceae
Description: sequence contains ITS1
Rfam family: 5.8S ribosomal RNA (bases 1-105)
Source: RNAcentral
GAAAUGCGAUAAGUAAUGUGAAUUGCAGAAUUCAGUGAAUCAUCGAAUCUUUGAACGCACAUUGCGCCCCUUGGUAUUCCGAGGGGCAUGCCUGUUCGAGCGUCAUUAUAACCAAUCAAGCCUGGCUUGGUGUUGGGGUUCGCGAUUCCAGCGGCCCUUAAAACCAGUGGCGGCGCCAUCUGGCUCUAAGCGUAGUAAUUAUCCUCGCUACAGAGUCCUGGUGGAGGCUUGCCAUAACCUAACUACUCACGGUUGACCUCGGAUCAGGUAGGGAUACCCGCUGAACUUAA